This 403-nucleotide ribosomal RNA is filed under the name Eubrownia aggregata. RNAcentral's name for it is "partial large subunit ribosomal RNA". It matches the Rfam family "Bacterial large subunit ribosomal RNA", at positions 2084 to 2485 of the family's 2925-position model. Lineage: Eukaryota; Viridiplantae; Chlorophyta; Chlorophyceae; Chlamydomonadales. The record is from RNAcentral.
AAAGACCCUAUGAAGCUUUACUGUAGUUUGGAAUUGGGUUCGGGCUCUUCUUGCGCAGCCUAGGUGGGAGGCUAUGAAGAUAAACUUUUGGGUUUAUUGGAGCCAACAGUGAGAGACCACUCUAGAGGAGCUAGAAUUCUAAUGGCGUUCCUUGAAGCAGGACGCUUGACAGUUUCAGAUGGGCAGUUUGACUGGGGCGGUCACCUCCUAAAAGGUAACGGAGGUGUGCAAAGGUUCCCUCAGGCUGGACGGAAAUCAGCCGUAGAGUGUAAAGGCAGAAGGGAGCUUGACUGCAAGACCUACAAGUCGAGCAGGGGCGAAAGCCGGCCUUAGUGAUCCGACGGUUCCGAGUGGAAGGGCCGUCGCUAAACGGAUAAAAGUUACUCUAGGGAUAACAGGCUGA